AGUCUUAUAUUCAAAAAUGAUAUAAAAUUGCAAAUUUUAUGGUGUGGUAAAAUUACUAAGGCUU
This 64-nucleotide transfer RNA is filed under the name Neptis soma (sullied sailer). RNAcentral describes it as "tRNA-Cys". Lineage: Eukaryota; Metazoa; Arthropoda; Insecta; Lepidoptera; Nymphalidae. The record is from RNAcentral.